CGUAAACUUUGAGCGUAAAAUUUUGACAGAAUAAUUUACCGCGCGCUUUUCAUCGCACAUGGUAAACAAACGAAAAACAAAAAGCGAUCGCAAUGGAAAACACAAAAAAAACAGUCCGGAACUACGCAAAACAGGAUAUCGAGCAAAGCCGUGCCGUGAUAGAGGCAGUAAGUAAGCGUCCAUCCUUAUGGAAUAAGAAGUUGGACAGCUAUAAAAAUCGAAACGUCCAAAAUGAUGGGUGGACGGCUAUAGGUAGUGAGGUAGGGCUUCCAACUGCUGAAGCUAAAGCAGUGUGGAAAAACCUCCUCAACUCCUAUAGGACGUACAGGAG
Molecule: long non-coding RNA, 331 nt
Organism: Anopheles arabiensis
Lineage: Eukaryota; Metazoa; Arthropoda; Insecta; Diptera; Culicidae
Exons: 3
Source: RefSeq, a predicted model, not a curated record